GACGAACGCUGGCGGUGUGCUUAACACAUGCAAGUCGAACGGUAAGGCCCUUUCGGGGGUACACGAGUGGCGAACGGGUGAGUAACACGUGAGUAACCUGCCCUCAUCUCUGGGAUAACAGUCGGAAACGGUUGCUAAUACUGGAUAUGAGCUUGCAAGGCAUCUUGUGGGUUGGAAAGAUUUUUUUUGGUUGGGGAUGGACUCGCGGCCUAUCAGCUUGUUGGUGAGGUAGUGGCUCACCAAGGCUUCGACGGGUAGCCGGCCUGAGAGGGCGACCGGCCACAUGGGGACUGAGAUACGGCCCAAACUCCUACGGGAGGCAGCAGUGGGGAAUAUUGCACAAUGGACGGAAGUCUGAUGCAGCAACGCCGCGUGCGGGAUGACGGCCUUCGGGUUGUAAACCGCUUUCAAUUGUGACGAAGCUUUUUUGUGACGGUAGCAGUAGAAGAAGCACCGGCUAACUACGUG
RNAcentral lists this ribosomal RNA (468 nucleotides) under uncultured bacterium. RNAcentral's name for it is "partial 16S ribosomal RNA". It matches the Rfam family "Bacterial small subunit ribosomal RNA", at positions 28 to 507 of the family's 1533-position model. The record is from RNAcentral.